GUAAAAGUCACCUGUCUGUUCAUCAGUGCAUUUGCCAAGAAGGUUUCCAGCAGGCAAGUUGACUGGGAAAUGGCUCUUAGGAGACGAAAACAAUGUUUCGGGUCGUUGCCUACACAACGGAGUACAAAAAUACCCAUCGGCUAUUGGACGUCACAAACGAUGUGUGUGCAGGGUAUGGGUCGACAUUUCCUCCUCCCGGUUCCUGCUUGAGCAGAUUAAAAAAAAAAAAAAAAAAAAAAAAAAAAA
Long non-coding RNA from Gigantopelta aegis, 246 nucleotides. RefSeq lists it as uncharacterized. The transcript is spliced from 3 exons. The record is from RefSeq and is a predicted model, not a curated record. Lineage: Eukaryota; Metazoa; Mollusca; Gastropoda; Neomphalida; Peltospiridae.